Molecule: small RNA, 1163 nt
Filed under: Pan troglodytes (chimpanzee)
Lineage: Eukaryota; Metazoa; Chordata; Mammalia; Primates; Hominidae
Description: processed transcript
Source: RNAcentral
ACCCCAUGAGAAAACUUUCUGGUGACAGAAGGGCAUUGUGACCCACGUUGCCCAGGGCCAGGGACAGGGCAGCUGCUCAUGGUUCUUCCUCACGAGUUUUCCUGGAGCAGAGGGACACCCCCAAACCCAGGGAGCCCACAGGAGCUUCAGAAGGGCUCGGCUGGAGGGCGGGGCCCCCAUUGCACUUGCUCACUGGGGACUGGGGAGGCUCUGAUCGCAGACCGGGGGUGCUGCCACCUCUGUCUGCUGCCGGCAGAAAGCCACAAGCCAUGAAAACUGAUUGAGAUGAGAAGAAUUCAUCUGGGACUGGCUUUUGCUUUAGGAUGGUGUUGGAAGUUGCUCGUUGUCGCUAGGAGCCUGCUCCACUGUAAGGGUGUCGGGAUCUGAAGAGCUAUGGUGAAACACCACUGAAGCAUUGCCAAGGUUACACUGCACGAAAAGUUGGCAAUCCUCUCUCGGUGGCUGCUGUGGGAGCAGCUAACCUCACAGCACCCGAAGGGAUGUCAUCGGGACCCCAGCUCUGUUUCCAGCAUCAGCUGAUGCCAGCAAGAAGCCAGCCAGGCCUGGGGCUUGGCAGCCCAGGGACUUUACCAUCCACCACCCACAGGGCUGUUGCCCUGGACAGGUCAUUGAUAUCUGACUCACAGCCAAUUCAUGGAUGAUGUGAAUCCAAAAAUCAGAGGCCCACGUGGAUUUAGACAUGGAAAUGCCUCAUCAGCUUCCAUGAGCCAGUCUCUGUGCGGCAGACUUGAACUGCACGGGGGCUGAUAGGAAGCAGCGUGGGCGCUGGGACGUGACUGUGCCCUUGCCACUGUUUCCAGUCACCCAGCUCGGGUUCUGUGGUUGUCUAAGCCUGGGGGUGCUCUGCCGGGUCUGCGGCGGCCCGGCUGCCUUUUCAGCCUAAUCACCAGAGAAGCCACAGAAAGAGCUGGACCACUUAGAGGGGCAGGCUGGCCACAGCCACUUGGAAGAACAGGCUGAUUUUGUACAGAUGUGUCAUUUUCUCCUGACUUUUAAACUGUAAACAUUAUAUAACACCCUAGAAAAAUUUGAAAACAGAUAUAAACCAUCAAUAACACUGGCAACCUAACACUUUUACCUAAGAGCUACCCAUUUUGAUUUAUCUGAUGCGCAGUUUUCAUUGCUGGAAUCCUAAAGACAUA